UGCCCUGCAGCUUCCUAGGCU
Molecule: microRNA, 21 nt
Filed under: Bos taurus (domestic cattle)
Lineage: Eukaryota; Metazoa; Chordata; Mammalia; Artiodactyla; Bovidae
Description: bta-miR-12049
Source: miRBase by way of RNAcentral